CAUGAAUGGGUCGAAAGCUGUCUUGGGUAACAACUUCUAUCAAAAGGAUCUAUGAAACAACAUCAAGUGUAUAAAACAAUCCUCGAUACUUUUCUCCAUGGAUGAAGUAAACCCCAAGGGUCCCAUGAAGGAGAGCACAGGGAACCCAGAAGGCUUGAAGCUAUCUUGAAGCUAUCUCCUGUGUGAGUCACUACCUCAGAAAUUUAUAGUGGAUAAUGACACUACUAAAUUCUUUUAAAUUUGGUAAGUAAUAUAAUCUGACUUCAAAUUCCUUGUUGUGUGUCUCAUGAAGCUCAGAAGCAGGGGGAGGUAAAAGAUUGUUAUUUUUCUCGAUAUAUUUGUGAAGAUUCUUGUAGACUAGAUUUCCCUCUUCUUGGGCAUUCAAUACGUAGUAAAUUUCUCACUUUCUUUGGGCACUGAAAGAUAACACCUUUGUCUGUUAGGAAAGAUUAUGAAAUACUACACCUGGUUCAGUGGAGUCGCCAUUCUCCCAAAGGGAGAUUAAGAAGUCUAUUCAUUUUAUUUUAUUUAA
Grammomys surdaster is the source of this 532-nucleotide long non-coding RNA. RefSeq lists it as uncharacterized. The record is from RefSeq and is a predicted model, not a curated record. The transcript is spliced from 3 exons. Lineage: Eukaryota; Metazoa; Chordata; Mammalia; Rodentia; Muridae.